This 580-nucleotide ribosomal RNA is filed under the name Trichoderma asperellum. RNAcentral describes it as "eukaryotic LSU rRNA". The stretch from base 220 to 373 matches the Rfam family "5.8S ribosomal RNA". The record is from RNAcentral. Lineage: Eukaryota; Fungi; Ascomycota; Sordariomycetes; Hypocreales; Hypocreaceae.
UCUCUCCUUUGGGGGGGGAUGCGGAGGGAUCAUUACCGAGUUUACAACUCCCAAACCCAAUGUGAACGUUACCAAACUGUUGCCUCGGCGGGGUCACGCCCCGGGUGCGUCGCAGCCCCGGAACCAGGCGCCCGCCGGAGGAACCAACCAAACUCUUUCUGUAGUCCCCUCGCGGACGUAUUUCUUUACAGCUCUGAGCAAAAAUUCAAAAUGAAUCAAAACUUUCAACAACGGAUCUCUUGGUUCUGGCAUCGAUGAAGAACGCAGCGAAAUGCGAUAAGUAAUGUGAAUUGCAGAAUUCAGUGAAUCAUCGAAUCUUUGAACGCACAUUGCGCCCGCCAGUAUUCUGGCGGGCAUGCCUGUCCGAGCGUCAUUUCAACCCUCGAACCCCUCCGGGGGAUCGGCGUUGGGGAUCGGGACCCCUCACACGGGUGCCGGCCCCUAAAUACAGUGGCGGUCUCGCCGCAGCCUCUCCUGCGCAGUAGUUUGCACAACUCGCACCGGGAGCGCGGCGCGUCCACGUCCGUAAAACACCCAACUUUCUGAAAUGUUGACCUCGGAUCAGGUAGAAUGCCCCAAG